CUAAGAAUCUUCGGCAAUGGCCUAACGGCUGACCGAGCGACGCCGCGUGGACGAAGAAGGCCGCAAGGUUGUAAAGUCCUUUUCUUGACGAAGAAUAAGGCAGGGAGUGGAAUGCUCUGCUGAUGACGUUAGUCGAGGAAGAAGCCCCGGCCAAUUACGUGCCAGCAGCCGCGGUAACACGUAUGGGGCGAGCGUUGUUCGGAAUUACUGGGCGUAAAGGGCGUGUAGGCGGUUCAGCAAGCCUGGUGUGAAAGUCUUCGGCCCAACCGGGGGAUUGCACUGGGAACUGCUGGGCUUGAGUUCUGGAGGGGGAGCUGGAAUUCCUGGUGUAGGGGUGAAAUCUGUAGAGAUCAGGAAGAACACCGGUGGCGAAGGCGGGCUCCUGGCCAGACACUGACGCUGAGGCGCGAAAGCGUGGGGAGCGAACAGGAUUAGAUACCCUGGUAGUCCACGCUGUAAACGAUGUGCACUAGGUGUUGGGGCGUUUGAAGCCUCGGUGCCGUAGCUAACGUGAUAAGUGCACCGCCUGGGGAGUAUGCUCGCAAGGGUG
This 550-nucleotide ribosomal RNA is filed under the name uncultured bacterium. Its description in RNAcentral is "bacterial SSU rRNA". It matches the Rfam family "Bacterial small subunit ribosomal RNA", at positions 355 to 896 of the family's 1533-position model. The record is from RNAcentral.